AAUAAGAUGCCUGAAUAAAGGGUUAUUUUGAUAGAAUAAAUUAAGUAUUUUUAUACUCUUAUUA
Molecule: transfer RNA, 64 nt
Filed under: Aconurella montana
Lineage: Eukaryota; Metazoa; Arthropoda; Insecta; Hemiptera; Cicadellidae
Description: tRNA-Ile
Source: RNAcentral